This is a long non-coding RNA of Felis catus (domestic cat), 2710 nucleotides long. RefSeq lists it as uncharacterized. The record is from RefSeq and is a predicted model, not a curated record. The transcript is spliced from 3 exons. Lineage: Eukaryota; Metazoa; Chordata; Mammalia; Carnivora; Felidae.
GUAACCCCGAGACGCCCUGCAGCCUUGGCGAUCUUCAAUGUAGCCAUUUGGGAAGAGAAAAAAAUAGAGAAUGUACUCCUUUCCUCUGCAAACCUGGUCGUUAAGACGGGGCCCCUCCCGGGCAGAAGUGGACAAACUGAGACUCAAGUUGUUCUGGGAUCAUACGGAGACUAGCAGAGUUGAGAUUUUAUGUCUCAUUUUAGAGGAAUCAAGAAAGAUCAGGUUCCCCCACCUCCUAUCCUGAUGACCUAUGGAGAAUAUGAGAGCUUCAAGCUCUACGGGAUGAGUGGCCCAGGCCAUGAGGAAGACAAGAUGUUCUCAUCAUUGGAGUUUUCCUUUGAUUGCUAGUUUCCAUUACACAAAGUGACCACUCCUUCUAGAAGAUAUUUGGGUUGUUAGCUCAUUGAGGGCAAGGCCAGAAUGCACUGACAAUGGUUUGUUGAAUUUGUUGUUUGUUGGUGAGUUUAUAACUAAACGAACACAUAUUCGACCCCAGACCACCCCAGAGGGAAGCUGCAAUUGUGUCUGGCAAUGGGUGAAGUGAUUACUUUCUUGUGACUUUUCCCAAGUGAGGGCUCUUGCAUUCAUUCAGUGAACACAGCAAGCACCCAUCCUGCUGUGCACAGAACUAGAAAACAAGUUGGGGGCUUCCAAGGGCAAGAAUGUCUUGCUUCUCCUGAAAACUCCAUUCCGAGUCCUACACAUCUGGGAGUCUGUCCACCUCCAUGUGCAUGGAAGCCAUAGGGUUUCCUGUGAGGCAAGAAGUGUACCACUCAGGGUGGGGCACGGGACUGAAUCACACUCCUCCCACCCUCUCGCUUGGUGCCCCAGCUGUGCCUCAGAAUCACAAAACAAAGACAGCUCUGCUCCUCUCCUGUGGAGGCCUUGGAAACAGGCAACUACCAAAAGGGAAAUGCAAGGGAAGCAGAAAAAGCUGCAGAGCAGCCAGUCAGCCCCCCGCCCACCCUCAUCUCUUUCCAAGAAUCCCUUCUCCCCUUGAGUGUCCAGUCAGAGAAUUGGAAUGUCACUGCCUGUGCCCCAACACUGCGAUGCUGCUCAGGCUGAUAAAGACAAAGGCCGCAAUUGGACUCUCUUUGCCCGAAUGUAACCCUGCCUCACAGCCUCCCUGAGGUGACCAGGGGAGAUCACGUGCUGCCCCAUACUGUCAAGAUGCUUCCGCAAGCUGCCUGCCUUGUGGUGUUGGCAGGAAGAAGGCUGCUUGGGGACUUGCACUAUCAUGCUGCCUCAUGGCGGUUCCAAGGACAACAAUACAGAGGAAGCCAAGUCUCUGAGGAAUUUCCUGAAUAAUCCAAAAUGCUCAAGUGUCAAGGAAUUUCCCCACACAGCAUCCAAGUCCAACGCAUUCCGCAUUUUGCCCCACUUCACACUUGAACACACUGUCGUGGGCACCCAGAAAAUUGUAAUUCCCAGGUGUCUUUUUUGUUUUGUUUUGUUUUGUUUUUUUCCCAGAGUGAAGUCACUGGGGGUAACUGUCAAGGCUAUAAAAAAGAAACAAGAAAUUUGAAUUCCACCUAAACUCAUCUCAGUGCCUUAAUGUUCCUUUGGGGGAGCCAGCAGCCAUUCAUUUCAAGAGCUCAGAAGGAGAGCCAGGUGACUGGGGUCCUAACUCUGUUUUCUACCUCUAACUUGAUUUGCAGCUUUAGCUAAGUCAUGUCCCUUCUCUGAGCCUCAGUGUCCACACCUAUAAACUUAGAGGUUUGGAUUAGUCAGCCUUUAAGAUUCUUUUCCAAUUAUCAAUCGCCUCUGGUAUGCAUUUGGAGCUUUGCUACUUGCCCCCAAAGCAGGAAGAAUUUCGAAACUAGAAGCCAGUAUUUCAGAAAGCUCAGGAAAAGAAGACCUGUGAAAACACUGACAUUUGUGGAAAUCCAAGCACAAACACCAAUCACAAUCCAGUAACAUAGUCCAACCAAGGAAACUAUGUACUUGAGAACAAUGAAAGUAUAUUUAGUUCUUUGUCAAAAGUUAAAACUAAAUUUAACCUUUUUUUUUUUGCUAAAUUUAUUUUAUUUAUUUUGUUGUGUGUUGAGUAUAUUUUUUAAAGGAAGCAAGCACCUUUUAUUAAAAGAUUAUACUGUGCCAAUUUUUAUUAGAGGAAACAGUAAAUUUGCUUACUUUUCUGCACAGAUAUGUAUAUUAGAUAAGGAAUGAGGACUUUUAGAGUGAAUAGCUAGGAAGAACAAUGAAUUGAUUUAUGAAUUAACCUUUUUUAAGCAAAUAAAACUAGGAAAGGGUUGAGUCAGUGUAGUGAACACUGUUGGUGCCUUAUUGGUACCCGUCUGUGCCAAGCCGCUGUGAAUGUUCACUGCUGAUGGCUCACAGGAAUUGCCCUCCACCUAAUGGAGCUGACUCUCCUGGGAAGUUCUGUUCCCCUCAUUUUUGGCCAAAAACCGGUUGAUAAGGGGUUAAAGUAUCUGGUACCUCACCUCAGGAGGAGACCAACUCUGUAUUGGGAUUUAUGCUUCAGAGCUCUACUUCUCCUGACGUGAGUCCUGUCUGACUACUUGCCCUUCCCAUCCUGCUUCCACCCACACAAUGCCCACACCGUAGAAUCUCUGGACGGAUAUACAAGAAACUGUUAACACUAUUGUUUCUAUGAAGUGGAACUACAUGUCUGGAUUUCUUUUCAGUCCAUAUUUAUUAUCACAAAUACAUGAAUGUAUUAUUUAAUAAAACCAGUUGAUUUUUAAAA